UACGUAGGGGCCGAGCGUUGUCCGGAGUUACUGGGCGUAAAGCGCGCGCAGGCGGCUCGCUUUGCCCGGCGUGAAAGCCCCCGGCUCAACCGGGGAGGGUCGUCGGGGACGGGCGGGCUUGAGGCCGGCAGGGGCAGGUGGAAUUCCUGGUGUAGCGGUGAAAUGCGCAGAUAUCAGGAGGAACACCCGUGGCGAAAGCGGCUCUCUGGGACGGUACUGACGCUGAGACGCGAAAGCGUGGGGAGCAAACAGG
This 253-nucleotide ribosomal RNA is filed under the name uncultured bacterium. RNAcentral describes it as "partial 16S ribosomal RNA". It matches the Rfam family "Bacterial small subunit ribosomal RNA", at positions 524 to 776 of the family's 1533-position model. The record is from RNAcentral.